GCUUAAAAAAUGACUGCAGGCUACAUAGCUGGACUGGCCAUCGGGCAUACCGGGCAUUUGCCGGUGAUUUUUCAUUCAUUCGGUGCACAUUCGGUCACUAAAAACGGAGAUUUCUAAAAAUGCCUGUCAGGGUGGAUAUUUUCGAAAACUCCGUUUUUGCAUUUACGCGUGGAUGAGGAAAACGGAGAAAACGCAGCGUCAAAGAUGUGCGCCUUUUUUUUUUUUUAUGUCAAACUGUGCGCCACGUUUUGUUUCGGUGAAAUGAAUUUCUACAAUACUGUUAAUUGUACUCUGCAGUGUUUAAAUGCUUACAUAUACACACACAGUUACUGUCCCUCCACACAUACGACUCGGUUCUGCUUCUACGCCCCAUCUUUGUUUACUAUUUCCCACCGAGGCUUCUAGACUUCUGAUUGGCCAAUAUUUCUACACGUUUAGGAAUAUAUCAGCACCUGUUGCUUUGGCAUGCUCCUAGCAGCGUUUUCCUUCAUUUCUGCAUUUACAUGUGGAUGGGAUUAUUUUUUAAAACGAAAACGGAAAAUCUCUGUUUUCAAAAAUACCCGUGUACGUGUGGAUGUAGCCUCAGAAGCACGUAAAAAUUCCAAAACAUGUACAAAAGACAACAGAAGUGCUCCAGAAUGCUAGGCACAGUGUUGAGCUUUGUUACCUAGAGGCUACACAAGCCAGCAAGUACCAACGACCGGUGUGUGGUAGUAAGAGGAGGGAAUGUCACAGACACACAGACAAGUAUAAAUAAAGAACGCAGACAGUGAUGGGGCGCAAGUCUUGCGUUCCAUGACUGCCCUCGCGAGUGAAAAACUGCAGUGUUUGUGUUUUCUAACUCGGGUGUCUCAGCUGAAGAACUGUGGGGAGAUUCUUAGAAAUCCCCUGUCAUCUACAAAAAAUGAAAAAAGAAGAAAAAGAAGCAUCAAACAAAAGCUUUGACUAUAAUGUGUCGUGUUAUUUUACUGACUGUCACGGGUUGCCGGGGCAAGCCGUGUGAGAAUAUAUUAGGACCCAAAAUGCGGCAGCUCUGGUGCAGGUGAGUUUAUUUAGCAAUGUGAAUACAAACAGAGAUGGCGAGGGUGAGCAAAACUAAGAAAACCUAAACUGGGAACAACUAAGGAAAACAAACCUGAAACCUUGAGAUAAGAAACCGAGAUGCGCGGAGACGAAGAGAAAACAGGGAAAACCACACAGGACGACGGAGGGAGAAUCACAGGAAGAUGGAGGGGAGCAACACAGACGAAGCAGCAACUACAAAGACAGAAGACGCGACUUAAAUACACACAGAGAAACACAGGGAGAUUACACACAGGUGGUGGACACAGCUGGGAGUAAUUAACAAGACGAGACAAAAGGUAAAACCGAACACAUUCACAUGAGACGCAGACCUUCACAAUAAAACAGGAAACAAGAGAUCACUACACGAGGAUGCAGACAGGACACUGAAAGACAGAGAAUAAAACACAUGGAACCUGAACUAAACAUGAGGGCGAGAUAACAAAACCUAAACCAGAAGUAAUAAUCAUCAUCAUAAUCAUUAACAGCACUACAAGAGAAUAUGAGAACAAACCAUGACAUAAUAAACUCAAAAUACUGGGUCCAACGGACCCAGAACCAUGACACUGUCCAUGUGAGUGAAAACACCUAAGCGCCUUCACAGCAUCAAACAAACAUACAAGAUAAGGUUCCAAGAUAUGGCGAGGGCUCUCAAAAAAAGAACUCCAGUAAGGUCAGAGUAUGAACCUUAAAACAAAAGUAAGAAGUGUCCCAACUCAACCUCAGUUCUGUACAUUCAAAGGCCAGCGCUGACUGAUGGGGAAAUGUAAAGGGCAAUAAAAUGCUGCAGAAAUGUCACUGCAUGCCCACUUGACUGGGCCUCGUCAUUCCCUUAAGACUCGCAGCUUUCCUGCUCCAGUGAGACCUGUAGUAGUAUAGGGCAUCUCCCCGUCAAUGCCCGGCUGAAAUAGAGACAAAGACACUACAGGUCACAAUAGAACAGUAAUGUCAUCUUUAGAUAUAGUUAAACACAACUGCAGAUCUGAGAACUUUGGGACUCUGAAUGUAAAUAAAUGUAAAUAAAAACAGAAUGCAAAUGAUUUUAUUCACAACAGAUCAAAGAAAAACAUAUCAAAUAUUUAAACUGACACAUUUUACUAUUUGAUGAAAAACUGUUAAAAUCUGAUUUUUAAAUUUAAUGGCAGCAACAGAUCUCAAAAGAAACUGGGACGGAUGAAGAAAAGUCUGGAAAAGUAAGUAACACUAAAAAGAAACAGCUGGAGCAAAACUGUAAAGACGUAAAACAUCUCAUCAUCUACAUGCCUGUGAUAGUCGGGCCCUCAGGGAGCAGUUCAUUAAAUAAAAAAGAAGACAUAAUUCUGUCAAGGCAAUCACUACGUGGGCUUGGACACUUCUAGGAAUCACCGUAUGUGAACAUAGUUCACUGUGCCAUACAGGUUAUGCAAAGAAGAAGCCAUAUAUGAACGUGAUCGAUCAAUGUCACCAUCUUCUCUCAUUUAAAAUGGACUAAUGGAAAAGUGCAAAACUGUUCUGUG
This is a long non-coding RNA of Oreochromis aureus, 2558 nucleotides long. NCBI's taxonomy places the organism in Eukaryota, Metazoa, Chordata, Actinopteri, Cichliformes, Cichlidae. The record is from Ensembl.